RNAcentral lists this transfer RNA (74 nucleotides) under uncultured Actinomycetes bacterium. RNAcentral describes it as "uncultured actinobacterium tRNA-Arg". It matches the Rfam family "tRNA". Rfam says of the family: Transfer RNA (tRNA) molecules are approximately 80 nucleotides in length. Lineage: Bacteria; Bacillati; Actinomycetota; Actinomycetes. The record is from RNAcentral.
GCGCCCGUAGCUCAACGGAUAGAGCAUCUGACUACGGAUCAGAAGGUUAGGAGUUCGAGUCUCUUCGGGCGCGC